UGGGGAAUCUUAGACAAUGGGCGCAAGCCUGAUCUAGCGAUGCCGCGUGAGUGACGAAGGCCUUAGGGUCGUAAAGCUCUUUCGCCAGGGAUGAUAAUGACAGUACCUGGUAAAGAAACCCCGGCUAACUCCGUGCCAGCAGCCGCGGUAAUACGGAGGGGGUUAGCGUUGUUCGGAAUUACUGGGCGUAAAGCGCGCGUAGGCGGAUUGGAAAGUUGGGGGUGAAAUCCCGGGGCUCAACCCCGGAACUGCCUCCAAAACUAUCAGUCUAGAGUUCGAGAGAGGUGAGUAGAAUUCCGAGUGUAGAGGUGAAAUUCGUAGAUAUUCGGAGGAACACCAGUGGCGAAGGCGGCUCACUGGCUCGAUACUGACGCUGAGGUGCGAAAGUGUGGGGAGCAAACAGGAUUAGAUACCCCCGUAGUCC
This 424-nucleotide ribosomal RNA is filed under the name uncultured prokaryote. RNAcentral describes it as "bacterial SSU rRNA". It matches the Rfam family "Bacterial small subunit ribosomal RNA", at positions 355 to 796 of the family's 1533-position model. The record is from RNAcentral.